RNAcentral lists this ribosomal RNA (839 nucleotides) under Craterellus yunnanensis. RNAcentral describes it as "LSU rRNA". It matches the Rfam family "Eukaryotic large subunit ribosomal RNA", at positions 85 to 937 of the family's 3401-position model. The record is from RNAcentral. Lineage: Eukaryota; Fungi; Basidiomycota; Agaricomycetes; Cantharellales; Hydnaceae.
AACUGCGAGUGAAGAGGGAAGAGCUCAUCAUUGGAAUCUGGCAGUGUUGCACUGUCCGAGUUGUAGAUGAGGAGUAGUCCGUCUGGACUGCAUGGCGUCCAAGUACAAUAGGCCGUCAGUGGGACAUCAUAGAGGGUGACAAUCCCGUCCUUGACGCCAAUGUGCAAGUCUAUUACGAUGGCUAUCUCAGAGAGUCGAGCAGUUUGGGAUUUGCUGCUUAAACAUGGGAGGUAGAUUCCUUCUAAAGCUAAAUACAGGCGAGAGACCGAUAGAGAACAAGUACCGCAAGGGAAAGAUGAAAUAGCACUCUGUGAAGGGAGUCAAAAGGCGUGAAAUUGUUGCGAGAGAAGCGAUUCAAGUCAGCGUAGCUAGGCCCAUCAAGCGUCUUCGCUUUGGACUAGCUUUGCCAGCGGUCUUGUCCCUUGAAGAGACUUGACUUGUAAUAUGUCCAGCCUGGCGUGCACAGGCAGCCCCUUCUGGGGGCCAGUGGCAUGGCUGGUGGAAUGGCUUGCAAUCGACCCGUCUUGAAACACGGACCAAGGAGUCUAACAUGUAUGCGAGUAUAAGGGUGGCAAACCCGUAUGCGCAAUGAAAGUGAUUUUCGGUGAUUGAGAAUGGCCUGAUGACCAGACAAGCAAUAUAUGUCCCUCGUACGGCCAUUGCCCAAGUUCCGUGGUAGAUCCCACGAACAUGGAGUUGGAGCAUACAUGCUAGGACCCGAAAGAUGGUGAACUAUGCCUGGACAAAGCGAAGCCAAAGGAAACUCUGGUGGAGGCUUGUAGCGAUUCUGACGUGCAAAUCGAUCGUCUGAUCUGGGUAUAGGGGCGAAAGACUAAUCG